RNAcentral lists this long non-coding RNA (2140 nucleotides) under Marmota monax (woodchuck). The record is from RNAcentral. Lineage: Eukaryota; Metazoa; Chordata; Mammalia; Rodentia; Sciuridae.
AGCUUCUCUCACAACAUUAGAUUUCUUUACAUUUUGCUGUUGUGAUUUAUAAUUUUUAAGUCAAUUUUUGGUUUUGUUUCAUUCUUUUGAAGAUUGCAUUAAUGUUUCUAAUUUCUCACCUCUUCCCUUGCUUAGAAUCAUACCUGGACACCUUUUGCCAGAGACUUUUCAGUACUUCCCACUGUAGAAGAUGGAAUAUACUUCACUCCAUAGUUGUUGAGGUAGAUUGUGUGAUUUGCUUUAUUCAAUGGAAUGCCAGCAAACAUAAAGCAAGCAAUGAUUUUAAUUGUCUUAUUUGAAUUAGCCUCUUCUGAUCCUACUAACUAUCCUGAGAGGAUCAUGCAGCAGGAUAUCAGAAUAAAUAAAUAAAUAAUAAAUAUGUAGGGAACACACCUGCAACCAGACUUGAAGUCCAGAUCCAAUCCUGUCUCCUAGUUGCAUCCCAGCUCCUGUUGAUCUGAAACCUAAAAUGAAGAAAACUUGCUUUUAAAAGGCACUGAGAUUUUGAAAUUGUUUACAUUAUCACAGCAAAAAUUGACUAAGACAGAAAUGUAUUCUUAGAAACAUAUUUCUUCUAUGAAAAAUCCUAAAAUGUGGCUAUUACAGGGACUAAAAAAUGGCAACACAGAUUUUGCCGUCAUGAAACAUUUGGCCCCACUCUUACCUGAAAUAACCUGGAGAGUAGAAAUGUACCCAUUGAAUUCAUGUCCCUGAGCAAAGAGGUUUAGUGGAAAAAUGCUAAUAGUAUAAAUGGUUACUAUUUCUAUAUUUGAUAAGAGACAGGGCAUAAACUCAGAAUGUAACUGGCUAGCAUGCAUAUAGAAUUUAAAAAUAAUACAGAAAGCCCAAAUUGUUCAGAGCUUUUGGGAUAUGAAAAGGAAACUAGAUCUCAUCUUUAAAUAGUAGACAAGAAAAUGAAGAAGUACUUGGAAUUGGGAAGUCAUUCUAGAACAUGGCUUUGGGUGGAAGCCUAAGUCGUCACCUUCUUUGCCAAUCUUAAAACAAAAGGCAAUUCCUAGCAGAUGGCUUUAAAGGAGCCUGAGGGCAUGGACUCUCACAAUCUUGGUACACCCAAAGUGGGGACAAUUAAGAAUAAAGAGGAUUGUGGAACCUUUGUCAUACAACAGUGUUUUGUAUUCUCUAUUGUUCCAUGCGUCAAUCUGUAACUAUAGAACUGGGCUGGAGUGAAUUUCCUGGUAUGAAGCUUUCACAACACUUCCAGUUCUGUUGGCCCGACCAUAUUCAUCUGUGAAUUAUCAGAAAGGACUCAGGAGACCCAUGUGUCCUGCUUUCCCUGAUUCUUAAAUUGUUCCCCACAAGUCAUAUUAUCUCCAAAACUGUGUGCCACUAGUAUAGAUCUUCCUUGUCCAUUUUUCUCUAUGGCCUCUUCAGAAGUGAAUGUUAAGGGCCAUGUUCUCCUUGGGGGAUGAACAGCUCCUGUAGUUCACUUACUUCCCAGGACCUCUUGGGUACCCAAAGUUUCAAACAAUCAAAAUAUUUUAAAGUCCAGGAUCUUAAUUUCUUUAAUUGUACCAUUCCCUCAAAAACUCACUAGGCUUCUGAUAUAUUUGCUUCCAGUAUAUACCAUGGGGCAGUUGCCACAGUCAAAUACUUUACAAAAGAAAAUUCCCCAGCCUGAAUUGUUUCUUCUUGCUCCUACUUAUCAUGUCGUUGUCGAACCUGUUGCUUCUGCAGGUUCGCAUUUGUGGGGACUUAUUUCCUUACGUGUUUGGUUGACUGUGAUGCUCAUUCUGCUUUGUGAAAUCAUCUGUUGGGAUCACCCAAGGCAUAUGAUGAGGGUACUUUGAUCUUAUUUUCCAUAUGCCAAUGAGACAUUUGCUCGGGAACCUCAUAUACUUGAUUGCAAAGCGUAUUACUUUUUAAAAAGACUAUUUUAAUAAACAUGAACUGAUGAAAAGAGAUAAUCAAGAAAUUUCUUAACCAUGUGAAAAUUAAGAAAGACAUUUCUUAGAUCAAAGUGAAGACUUCUUACAAACCAUUUAGCAAUGAGUCAAAAGAAGGACAAUUUACUCCUAGUCCUAUGGAGCAAGAGAAUUUUUCAGUGGGACUUGGAGGGUUUAAAUGCCUUCAUUAUUAUGAACAAAAAAGAUUAGAAAUAAAGGAAUUCACAUUUCAUCUG